Long non-coding RNA from Mercurialis annua (annual mercury), 1526 nucleotides. RefSeq lists it as uncharacterized. Lineage: Eukaryota; Viridiplantae; Streptophyta; Magnoliopsida; Malpighiales; Euphorbiaceae. The transcript is spliced from 3 exons. The record is from RefSeq and is a predicted model, not a curated record.
UUUUGGUUCAUUUCUUCUCCAAUUCUCUUUUUUUUGGUCUUAUCUUUUACUUCUCAUUUAUCUUUUUCUUUCGAUAUUUUUUGAUAUUACUUAUCUUCUUCACUAUCAAUUCCCAUUUUCGGACUUCUCUUCUUCGUUCUCACUUUCCGUCACCGGAUGAGUUUGGAUUCGGAUGUUCUGUGAUGAAUUUAAAACCCUAUUUUGCUUAAUUUUCAUGAAGAUGGCGAUGCUUAAUUCUUUUACAGGUGAGUUUUAGUUCUUUACCGCUCGGGUCUAUUUAGUGUAAAAUUCAACUCUAAUUGCUGAGAUUCUGACGAUGUGCUCGGCCGGGAUGGUUCUUCUCUUCGAUUGUCAUUCGAUCGUGAAUGUAAAUCGACCAAAAUCGACCUACUCGAAGUUCUUCCGCUGUAAACCCAGUUUUGUUUUCAAAUUGUAUAUUUGUUAAUUCUUCUAUAAUUAUAUUUUUGAAUAUGAAAAUGAAUUUUGUUAUUGAUUGAUUAAUUGAUUGAGUAGUUUUGUAGAAGUCCCGUCGUUGUGCUGACUCCGGCGUUAUUUAUGGCGCCCGACAUAAGAAUUGGUACAAGAAAUUUUGGAGUUUUAGUUCUUAGGAAUCUGUUCUAAACCCAGUCGUGAAAAUACUUCAUGUUUUUCUCUUUUUCUUAUUGAUAUUCACCAUUAAAUAUUGUUUUAUUUUUUCAGGUGAGGCGGCGGUCCACGAGUACCACGGCAUAGGGAAGCCUGUGUGCAUAUCUUUAGCAAAUAAUGGCAUAUGCAGUGCUCAUAAAAACCCUCCUUUGUGAAAGAUUAUUACCACUAGAGAGAAAGCUAAUACUUGAUUUGUUGUUAUCUAGCGGGAUGUACGAGUAGAACCAAGCAUUGCAGGAGCUAUCGACUAAGGUGUUUCAACCCAUAUGGAGGAAUGCAAAAACAGUCUUGAAGAUCCUCAACAUUCUAGAGAUUCUGGAAAUCAUCAGUUUUGUCCAUUCGUUGGUAUGAAUGUAUGACGGAAGCACCUGUAACUAUAGGGGUUUUGAGGCCAUGAAAUUAAGUCACUGAAUUAGCAAGCGGUCAUAUAAUUCCAAGGGUUGGAUUUUAAACUCAUUCGUAGUGUACUAUUGGAGUAAUGGCGCAGGACAUCUCUCCUACUCCGUCAAUGGACACCGGAGCCGGGCUUGCAUUGCCGGUUUCCGUUCAUUUUAUAUGUUUUCCGAUGAUCACAUCUCUUUUUGCAAUUUUCUGGACCUAAAUAGUAGAGCUUAUGGGUUGAAAGGUACAAAUUGUUAUAUUUCAUUUUUGGGGUGUAUUAAAAGGGCUUUUAAUAUAAAAAAAAUGGUAUUUUUGUGAUUGGUGAGUUUUUGGUUUGUAUAUGUAUAAUAUUUGAAUUUGUUUUCUCUAUGGAUUUUAUUAUUUAUGAGUAUAAUUUUUGUGGUUGAUUAUUAUUAUUAUUAUUAUUAUUAAUAAUAAAGUGAAAUUUUUUGUAUGUUUUACUAUAUAUUAAACAAAAUGAGAAUAGUUUUCUUUUCUAA